UACGAAGGGGGCUAGCGUUGUUCGGAAUUACUGGGCGUAAAGCGCACGUAGGCGGAUAUUUAAGUCAGGGGUGAAAUCCCGCAGCUCAACUGCGGAACUGCCUUUGAUACUGGGUAUCUUGAGUAUGGAAGAGGUAAGUGGAAUUCCGAGUGUAGAGGUGAAAUUCGUAGAUAUUCGGAGGAACACCAGUGGCGAAGGCGGCUUACUGGUCCAUUACUGACGCUGAGGUGCGAAAGCGUGGGGAGCAAACAGG
Molecule: ribosomal RNA, 253 nt
Filed under: bacterium
Lineage: Bacteria
Also listed under: 3 other names
Description: partial 16S ribosomal RNA
Rfam family: Bacterial small subunit ribosomal RNA
Source: RNAcentral